This 674-nucleotide ribosomal RNA is filed under the name uncultured Lachnospiraceae bacterium. RNAcentral describes it as "bacterial SSU rRNA". It matches the Rfam family "Bacterial small subunit ribosomal RNA", at positions 47 to 721 of the family's 1533-position model. Lineage: Bacteria; Bacillati; Bacillota; Clostridia; Lachnospirales; Lachnospiraceae. The record is from RNAcentral.
CCUAACACAUGCAAGUCGAGCGAAGCGCUGUUUUCAGAAUCUUCGGAGGAAGAGGACAGUGACUGAGCGGCGGACGGGUGAGUAACGCGUGGGCAACCUGCCUCAUACAGGGGGAUAACAGUUAGAAAUGACUGCUAAUACCGCAUAAGCGCACAGGACCGCAUGGUGUAGUGUGAAAAACUCCGGUGGUAUGAGAUGGACCCGCGUCUGAUUAGGUAGUUGGUGGGGUAAAGGCCUACCAAGCCGACGAUCAGUAGCCGACCUGAGAGGGUGACCGGCCACAUUGGGACUGAGACACGGCCCAAACUCCUACGGGAGGCAGCAGUGGGGAAUAUUGCACAAUGGGGGAAACCCUGAUGCAGCGACGCCGCGUGAAGGAAGAAGUAUUUCGGUAUGUAAACUUCUAUCAGCAGGGAAGAAGAUGACGGUACCUGAGUAAGAAGCACCGGCUAAAUACGUGCCAGCAGCCGCGGUAAUACGUAUGGUGCAAGCGUUAUCCGGAUUUACUGGGUGUAAAGGGAGCGUAGACGGAUAGGCAAGUCUGGAGUGAAAACCCGGGGCUCAACCCUGGGACUGCUUUGGAAACUGCAGAUCUGGAGUGCCGGAGAGGUAAGCGGAAUUCCUAGUGUAGCGGUGAAAUGCGUAGAUAUUAGGAGGAACACCAGUGGCGAAGG